RNAcentral lists this ribosomal RNA (581 nucleotides) under uncultured bacterium. RNAcentral describes it as "bacterial SSU rRNA". It matches the Rfam family "Bacterial small subunit ribosomal RNA", at positions 338 to 918 of the family's 1533-position model. The record is from RNAcentral.
CCUACGGGAGGCAGCAGUAAGGAAUAUUGGACAAUGGUCGCAAGACUGAUCCAGCCAUGCCGCGUGCAGGAUGACAGCCCUAUGGGUCGUAAACUGCUUUUGUGCGAGAAAAAACCCCUCUACGUGUAGAGGGCUGAUUGUAUCGUAAGAAUAAGGAUCGGCUAACUCCGUGCCAGCAGCCGCGGUAAUACGGAGGAUCCAAGCGUUAUCCGGAUUCAUUGGGUUUAAAGGGUGCGUAGGCGGAAUGAUAAGUCAGUGGUGAAAUCCUGCAGCUUAACUGCAGAACUGCCAUUGAUACUGUCAAUCUUGAGUACAUUCGAUGUGGGCGGAAUGUGUCAUGUAGCGGUGAAAUGCUUAGAUAUGACACAGAACACCGAUUGCGAAGGCAGCUCACAAAACUGUAACUGACGCUGAGGCACGAAAGCGUGGGUAUCAAACAGGAUUAGAUACCCUGGUAGUCCACGCUGUAAACUAUGAUUACUCGAUGUUUGCGAUACACUGUAAGCGUCUAAGCGAAAGCGAUAAGUAAUCCACCUGGGGAGUACGCUCGCAAGAGUGAAACUUCAAAGGAAUUGGACGGG